CCUACGGGUGGCAGCAGUAGGGAAUUUUGCGCAAUGGGCGAAAGCCUGACGCAGCAACGCCGCGUGAUCGAGACGCCCUUCGGGGUGUAAAGAUCGGUCAGUGGGGACGAAACUUGACGGUACCCACAGAGGAAGCACCGGCUAACUCCGUGCCAGCAGCCGCGGUAAUACGGGGGGUGCAAGCGUUGUCCGGAAUCAUUGGGCGUAAAGCGUUCGUAGGCGGCACGUAAAGUCUGGUGUUAAAGGCAGAGGCUCAACUUCUGUACGGCACUGGAUACUUGCCAGCUAGAAUGUGGUAGCGGUAAAGGGAAUGCCUGGUGUAGCGGUGAAAUGCUUAGAGAUCAGGAGGAACACCGGUGGCGUAGGCGCUUUACCAGGCUGUAACUGACGCUGAGGAACGAAAGCGAGGGUAGCAAAUGGGAUUAGAUACCCGAGUAGUC
RNAcentral lists this ribosomal RNA (440 nucleotides) under uncultured bacterium. RNAcentral describes it as "partial 16S ribosomal RNA". It matches the Rfam family "Bacterial small subunit ribosomal RNA", at positions 338 to 795 of the family's 1533-position model. The record is from RNAcentral.